CCUACGGGAGGCAGCAGUGGGGAAUAUUGGGCAAUGGAGGAAACUCUGACCCAGCGACGCCGCGUGCGGGAUGAAGGCCUUCGGGUUGUAAACCGCUUUCAGUAGGGAAGAAGCGAAAGUGACGGUACCUACAAAAGAAGCACCGGCUAACUAUGUGCCAGCAGCCGCGGUAAUACAUAGGGUGCAAGCGUUGUCCGGAAUUAUUGGGCGUAAAGAGCUCGUAGGUCGUUUGUUACGUCGGAUGUGAAAACCUGAGGCUCAACCUCAGGCCUGCAUUCGAUACGGGCAAACUAGAGUUUGGUAGGGGAGACUGGAAUUCCUGGUGUAGCGGUGGAAUGCGCAGAUAUCAGGAGGAACACCAAUGGCGAAGGCAGGUCUCUGGGCCAAUACUGACACUGGGGAGCGAAAGUCUGGGGAGCGAACAGGAUUAGAUACCCUGGUAGUCCAGACCGUAAACGGUGGGCACUAGUUGUGGGAACCUUCCACGGUUUCUGCGACGCAGCUAACGCAUUAAGUGCCCCGCUGGGGAUACGAUCGCAAGAUUAAAACCGUCAAAGGAAUUGACGG
This 567-nucleotide ribosomal RNA is filed under the name uncultured bacterium. Its description in RNAcentral is "bacterial SSU rRNA". It matches the Rfam family "Bacterial small subunit ribosomal RNA", at positions 338 to 916 of the family's 1533-position model. The record is from RNAcentral.